UCGGCCGGUUACGUCACAGCGCCGCGACUCGGCCUGUCCCAAUUCGAAGACUCCUUCAAAUGCGGUCGACGAAUGCGGCCUUCUUUUCGCCUGAAUGAAGGAUGGGUCGGGUGUAUCCUUCAAUAGGUAGCAUUUCCCAAGAUGCCUUGCGGGCCGGCCGGCAGAAAAACUUAAAAACAAUGGCGGACAGUGAAGCGGGAGCUGUCGGAGAGGAUUGCGCUUAUAAAUGACCAAAAGAGAAAACCAGGGAAUUUAUUAAGCUUAGGGCGGAGAUGGACCACAUGAUCACCGGAGCAAAGUAUUCGGCGGCUGUGGCAUGGAGACUAUUCUGGAGAAAAUGGGCAUCCAGGGGAAGGUGCCAGCGAUGAGCUUCUGGAGCUGAUCAGGGAGGAUAUGAGGCUGCAGAGCAGCAGAGAGCACAGGAGAGAAGGAAGAACUUUGACAGCUUUUUACUUUGCUAGAAAAAAAUGGUUAAUGAAGAUUAAACAUGUACAUGUAAAAGAAAUAUCUAAAUAAAAUCAGUUCUGCAUUAAA
Long non-coding RNA from Nothobranchius furzeri (turquoise killifish), 534 nucleotides. RefSeq lists it as uncharacterized. NCBI's taxonomy places the organism in Eukaryota, Metazoa, Chordata, Actinopteri, Cyprinodontiformes, Nothobranchiidae. The record is from RefSeq and is a predicted model, not a curated record.